AUUGAACGCUGGCGGAAUGCUUUACACAUGCAAGUCGAACGGUAGAGGGGGCAACCCCUCGAGAGUGGCGAACGGGUGAGUAAUAUAUCGGAACGUGCCCAGUCGUGGGGGAUAACGUAGCGAAAGUUACGCUAAUACCGCAUACGAUCUAAGGAUGAAAGCGGGGGAUCGCAAGACCUCGCGCGAUUGGAGCGGCCGAUAUCAGAUGAGGUAGUUGGUGGGGUAAAGGCUCACCAAGCCAACGAUCUGUAGCUGGUCUGAGGGGACGACCAGCCACACUGGAACUGAGACACGGUCCAGACUCCUACGGGAGGCAGCAGUGGGGAAUUUUGGACAAUGGACGCAAGUCUGAUCCAGCCAUUCCGCGUGCAGGAUGAAGGCCCUCGGGUUGUAAACUGCUUUUGUACGGAACGAAAAGGUCUCUCUUAAUACGGGGGGCUCAUGACGGUACCGUAAGAAUAAGCACCGGCUAACUACGUGCCAGCCGCCGCCGUAA
Molecule: ribosomal RNA, 496 nt
Filed under: uncultured bacterium
Lineage: Bacteria
Description: partial 16S ribosomal RNA
Rfam family: Bacterial small subunit ribosomal RNA
Source: RNAcentral